RNAcentral lists this ribosomal RNA (899 nucleotides) under Bacillus subtilis. Its description in RNAcentral is "bacterial SSU rRNA". It matches the Rfam family "Bacterial small subunit ribosomal RNA", at positions 62 to 942 of the family's 1533-position model. The record is from RNAcentral. Lineage: Bacteria; Bacillati; Bacillota; Bacilli; Caryophanales; Bacillaceae.
UCGAGCGGACAGAUGGGAGCUUGCUCCCUGAUGUUAGCGGCGGACGGGUGAGUAACACGUGGGUAACCUGCCUGUAAGACUGGGAUAACUCCGGGAAACCGGGGCUAAUACCGGAUGCUUGUUUGAACCGCAUGGUUCAAACAUAAAAGGUGGCUUCGGCUACCACUUACAGAUGGACCCGCGGCGCAUUAGCUAGUUGGUGAGGUAACGGCUCACCAAGGCGACGAUGCGUAGCCGACCUGAGAGGGUGAUCGGCCACACUGGGACUGAGACACGGCCCAGACUCCUACGGGAGGCAGCAGUAGGGAAUCUUCCGCAAUGGACGAAAGUCUGACGGAGCAACGCCGCGUGAGUGAUGAAGGUUUUCGGAUCGUAAAGCUCUGUUGUUAGGGAAGAACAAGUGCCGUUCAAAUAGGGCGGCACCUUGACGGUACCUAACCAGAAAGCCACGGCUAACUACGUGCCAGCAGCCGCGGUAAUACGUAGGUGGCAAGCGUUGUCCGGAAUUAUUGGGCGUAAAGGGCUCGCAGGCGGUUUCUUAAGUCUGAUGUGAAAGCCCCCGGCUCAACCGGGGAGGGUCAUUGGAAACUGGGGAACUUGAGUGCAGAAGAGGAGAGUGGAAUUCCACGUGUAGCGGUGAAAUGCGUAGAGAUGUGGAGGAACACCAGUGGCGAAGGCGACUCUCUGGUCUGUAACUGACGCUGAGGAGCGAAAGCGUGGGGAGCGAACAGGAUUAGAUACCCUGGUAGUCCACGCCGUAAACGAUGAGUGCUAAGUGUUAGGGGGUUUCCGCCCCUUAGUGCUGCAGCUAACGCAUUAAGCACUCCGCCUGGGGAGUACGGUCGCAAGACUGAAACUCAAAGGAAUUGACGGGGGCCCGCACAAGCGGUGGAGCAUGU